ACUCUUUGUUCAUGUUGAGAUUCAACAGGAAAUAUUGUUUUUACAGGGUCUGGAAUUUUAAUGAGUCUAAGGAUUCCUGAUGGUUGUAUUGACUUUAUUUGUGGGGUUCUCAAAAGGAAUCUCACAGUGUAGUCAACAGCAAGGAGUAAGCAUUUUCUUACUUACAAAACCAAAGUUAUAUGUGUGGUACAAAGAUGAGAGACUGGGGCCAGGCGAGGUGGCUCACGCCCAUAAUCCCAACACUUUGGGAGGCUGAGGCAGGCAGAUCACCUGAAGUCAGGAGUUUGAGGCCAGCUUGACCAACAUGGUGAAACCUCAUCUCUACAAAAAAUGCAAAAAUUAGCUGGGUGUGGUGGUGCACACCUGUAAUCCCUGCUACUCAGGAGGCUGAGGCAGGAGAAUCACUUGAACCCAGGAGGUGGAGGCUGCAGUGAGCCAAGAUCACACCACUGCACUCUAGCCUGGGUGACAAAGCAAAACUCUGUCUCAAAAAAAAAAAAAAAAAAAAGUGAGACUGGGAGCAGAAAGCAAGCAGUACUCACGCCACACUGCUGGGCAGUGGUGCUUAAAGAAAGCGAAAGAACAAACAAAUGAAAUACCAGCCUCAAUGCAAAAAUAAGCUGGAAUGGAGGAGGUUUUCCAUGCUUUUUGAAAGAGGCUGGGUAGAAAUUGUAGUCUUGGGGGUUUUGUUGACAGCAAGAAUUUCAGCUUUGCCUUAAGUGUUACUCAGAAGGUGAAAUGGAUUCAGCCAAACGUUACCAUAUAAACACAAACAGGCACAUUUUGAAAACAGUUCCUGGAGUUCCAGGGAGCUCCCCUUUAAUUCAUCCCUAGCUCAAUGCCGUAUAGUUAGUGUUCAACGUCCUUCUAAGAAAAGAACUGAGGCGGUUUAUUAUUAGUGGUGAAGAACCAAUACACAGAAAUACAAAGGGUCAUAGAAAGACAGUAAGCAACAUUUCUGCUACAACAAGAGUCCGUAACCAUGCUUUACUCCAGCCUCGGGGCUUCUGAAACCUCCCUAAGCUAAGAAACACAAACACAUGUAUGUGGGCCCAUAAUAGAUGUAGGUGAGGGCUAUAGGUCUCCUCAGCUUCAUACCAGGUGGUAUGUUACAAUGAAAGCAAGUCUCAGACGGAAUUCGGCCAUAAAAUAAACAUUUAGAAGCCAGCAGGCUCAAAAACGUGGUACAACCAGUUCUGUAAACUCAACCAAGUACUGGUGCUUUGUUCUGCUGGCACACUGACAGGUGCCUUACAUAACAGAUUCACUUAAGGCAGAUGUGACAGUACUCGAACAGCAUGAUUUAGCUUCAUGUCUAGUCAGGGUCAGGUGCAGGAACCUUUCUAUGAGCUGUGGAUACAAGUCCUGAUUCAAAUCCCAAACCAGAGACAGCAUUUGGAAGGGCAUACAUUAUCCACUAGGCUUUCUAGGUCAUAAUACCCUGUUUAUGCAAGGAGAUGCAAUCUGAUACAGUGCUUC
This 1479-nucleotide long non-coding RNA is filed under the name Homo sapiens (human). RNAcentral's name for it is "non-protein coding lnc-STOX2-10:1". The stretch from base 343 to 490 matches the Rfam family "Metazoan signal recognition particle RNA". Lineage: Eukaryota; Metazoa; Chordata; Mammalia; Primates; Hominidae. The record is from RNAcentral.